CGGUAAUACGUAGGUGGCAAGCGUUGUCCGGAAUUAUUGGGCGUAAAGGGCUCGCAGGCGGUUUCUUAAGUCUGAUGUGAAAGCCCCCGGCUCAACCGGGGAGGGUCAUUGGAAACUGGGAAACUUGAGUGCAGAAGAGGAGAGUGGAAUUCCACGUGUAGCGGUGAAAUGCGUAGAGAUGUGGAGGAACACCAGUGGCGAAGGCGACUCUCUGGUCUGUAACUGACGCUGAGGAGCGAAA
Molecule: ribosomal RNA, 241 nt
Filed under: Bacillus velezensis
Lineage: Bacteria; Bacillati; Bacillota; Bacilli; Caryophanales; Bacillaceae
Description: partial 16S ribosomal RNA
Rfam family: Bacterial small subunit ribosomal RNA
Source: RNAcentral